Molecule: transfer RNA, 75 nt
Filed under: Chthoniobacter sp.
Lineage: Bacteria; Pseudomonadati; Verrucomicrobiota; Spartobacteria; Chthoniobacterales; Chthoniobacteraceae
Description: tRNA-Thr
Rfam family: tRNA
About the family: Transfer RNA (tRNA) molecules are approximately 80 nucleotides in length. Their secondary structure includes four short double-helical elements and three loops (D, anti-codon, and T loops).
Source: RNAcentral
GCCAGUGUAGCUCAGGGGUAGAGCAGCUGUUUCGUAAACAGCAGGUCAUGGGUUCGAAUCCCAUCACUGGCUCCA